Molecule: long non-coding RNA, 159 nt
Organism: Ipomoea nil (Japanese morning glory)
Lineage: Eukaryota; Viridiplantae; Streptophyta; Magnoliopsida; Solanales; Convolvulaceae
Exons: 2
Source: RefSeq, a predicted model, not a curated record
GCUCCCAUUUACACUCAACCUCGAUAUUUACAUCCUUCUAUAAUGCUUGAUGCUGAUGUCACAGACGGCGUUAUUGGUGAAGGUUGUGUAAUCAAGAACUGUAAAAUUCACCAUUCUGUGGUUGGACUUAGAUCAUGCAUAUCGGAGGGAGCAAUUAUA